AUGGCGGCCAGUGCUGCAGCUACAGAGAGCUCCGUGAGGAAGAGGCGCGUGGACAGCAGGAGGACGCAGACGGACAGAGUCCCUGGCGGCUCUUCAGACGGAACUGCCAACAAUGGAGACUCGGAGAAAAAGAAGCAGUUCGUGUCCUUACAACCCGGAACUUACUGGCUCACUCGUAUUGUGCUGCUGCGCUCAGUCUCAUUCAUUUACUUUGUGGCCUUCACAGUUGCCUACAACCAGAACAAGCAGCUGAUUGGAGAGAACGGACUAAUGCCUUGCAAGAAUUACCUGAACAGCGUCAAGCGCUACGUCGGAGGAAAGAUCGGCACGUCGGCUCUGGCAUACGCACCUUCCGUCCUCUGGUUCUUGGACUGGACCAGCAUGGACGCCAACCUGGACUGCAUUGCCUUGCUUGGGAUGGCGUUGUCAGGGUUCGUCCUGGUGACAGGGAUGGCCAAUAUGGUGAUCAUGAUGACCCUGUGGGUGCUUUACCACUCCUUGGUCAACGUGGGACAGCUGUGGUACUCCUUUGGUUGGGAGAGCCAGCUGUUGGAGACGGGCUUCCUGGCCGUCUUCCUGUGUCCGCUGUGGACUCUGUCCCAGGUUCCCAGCAGCUGUCCCCCCUCCCUCGUCUGCAUUUGGACCUUCAGGUGGCUCAUCGUUCGCAUCAUGCUGGGAGCUGGCCUCAUUAAAAUCAGAGGAGACCAGUGCUGGAGAGACCUGACCUGCAUGGACUACCACUAUGAGACCCAGCCAGUGCCAAACCCCAUCUCCUACUACAUGCACCGCUCUCCGUGGUGGUUCCACCACUUUGAGACACUGUCCAACCAUUUCAUUGAGCUCAUCGCUCCCUUCUUCACCUUCCUGGGCCGGCGGAUGUGCAUGGUGAACGGAGCCAUCCAGAUUCUCUUUCAGGUGGUCUUGAUCAUCAGCGGGAACCUGAGUUUCCUCAACUGGCUGACCAUUGUUCCCAGUUGGGCCUGCUUCGAUGACGCAUCGCUAAGCUUUCUGUUUCGCUGCGGCUCCAGAGCUAAGGAAGCGGUGCUGGAGAUCCAGAAGAAGAAGGUGACCGGACAAGCCCCCAAACCCACAAAAGGCAUGUUAAUACGGCGGGUGGUGAACAUUUCUUUGGGUGUUCUCAUUGGCGUCCUGAGCGUGCCAGUGGUGAUGAACCUGUUGAGUCCGCGUCAGGUGAUGAACACUUCCUUCGACCCGUUGCGCAUCGUCAACACCUACGGGGCUUUUGGAAGCAUCACCAAAGAACGGACUGAGGUGAUCUUCCAGGGAACUCUGAGCCCAGAUCCCAAAGACCCUGAGGCGGUUUGGGAGGAGUACCAGUUCAGGUGUAAGCCAGGAGAUGUGUACCGACGGCCCUGCCUCAUAUCGCCCUAUCACUACCGGCUGGACUGGCUCAUGUGGUUUGCUGCCUUCCAGACCUAUGAGCAGAGCGAGUGGGUCAUCCACAUAGCUGGACGCCUGCUGGCCAACGACAGCACCGUCCUCUCGCUGCUCGACCACAACCCCUUCCAAGGCAGAGACCCCCCCAGAUGGGUUCGAGGAGAACACUUCAGGUACAAAUUCUCUCAGCCGGGCAGCGCCAGCGCAGCACAGGGCAAAUGGUGGCUGAGAAAACGCAUCGGAGCCUACUUCCCUGCUGUAGACCUGGAAGGACUCAGAGGCUACUUCCAGUCCAGGAACUGGCCUCACCCACACAUCCCACCAAGCAGGAGCUGAAGUCAAACGGGAUGAAAAAGUCAUUUCAAAGCAGUUUGGAGCCAAGGUUACACUUCAUGCAGAUGACAUCAGGUUUCUCAAGAACUGCAUGAUAAAAAGUUUUCUGACUCAGAACACCAGUACAACUAUUCCAGGGGUGUCAAACUCCAGUCCUCAAGGGCUGUUGUCCUAUAGUUUUUGGAUGUGCCACAGGUGUGGUGCAGCAGAGGCACAUCUAAAAGUUGCAGGACAGCGGCCCUCGAGGACUGGAGUUAGACACCUGUGAACUAUUCCCAAUCAAUGUGAAGGUUUCGAAGCUCUCAGUUUUAAAUGAAUAAGAUCUAAAAACAUCCUGAGGACACCUGAAAGUAAAUGUACCAACGGUUGAAAAUGUAAAAAAUGAAAAUCAUUUUCUCACCAAGUCUCUGUGGCUUCCUGCCGGUGUGUUUUGUUUUGUUUUUUAAACUAGCUUUGGCUCAUCCGGAUUUUGAGAGUUGAGCCACAUUAGCAUGCUAUCUGUGACCAGAAUACAGUGUCAAAACAAGCUCACUUUCACUGGAGCAUAUGUGUAAAUAGCAAAAAAACACUAAGGAAGUCUUCUUUGUCAAGACAUUUUCAAAUCUAAAUAUUUUUCUUUAAAAAAUCUCAAAUACACAGGAUAAAUAUUCGAUAGAUUGAAAAACCUAUUUUGAAUACAUUUGGACAAAAUAGUGUUGAAAGAAAGAUGUAUAAAAUUAUUUUCUCUGAUGAAACGUCCUUUUAUUAAUAUGAAACAGCUGGGACGUUUUUCCAUCUUCCUCUGAGAUUUACUUUUUCCUUCUUCUCAAGCACUUCCAUUAAACAAAGAGUGAGAUGUAAAUGUCUUCUAGGAGUAUUUUCCAGCAUAGUGCAGCACCAUUUUGCACAACAAAAUGUGAAAACUGUUUCCAAGAUCACAACAAUUCAGACAAUGUGUUGUCAAAAGCAGGUUAACCAAAAGUAUCCCAACAAACCUGAUCAACUCUGAGCUCUGAUAACAAGAAAAGGUCAUUAUAAGUCAAUACUUUAUACAGAACCUGCAGUAGGGAAAACUUGAGUUGAAGAAGUUUUAAAGAAGAAACAUAAAAACACUGUAAGUGUUAAUUAUUUGCAUAAAUUUUAAGAAUUUACACAUAAAAUACUUAAAAUGUAUAAAAAGUUAGAAUCGUCCAUCAUUAAUCCACAGUGACAUGGAGAAAAAGCUGAAAAGCCACAGAACAGACAGUGCAGGACCAAAAAAGACCAGCAGAUGGUGCUGUUACUCCAAGUCUUAUCUGACCCCAGCUGAACCUCUACAGAUAAAAAUCUGUGGUUAGAAUAUUUUUCAGGAACAACUCAAGUACAACCAAACAUCAAGCCUGUCAAAAACUGGAAGAUGUUGGACAACCAUUCUCACUGAACACAGGGAAGAACGUCUUCCUUCACACAUGGAAAAGCCAGAUGUCUUCUGGAGAAAAACUUUAUGGAGAAACCUAAUUUUGGACUACUUAACCUUCAUGAGAAAAAGAAUGAGAUGGGUGUGAAUACAACUGUAAAGGGGGGCUUCAUGCUGAGGAAUUGUUUCACUGGGGUUUAAAAAAAAGAAUUGACAGUGGACAUUGUUGAAUACUCUUCACUCAUUGUCCUCCCUCCCUUAGUUUGGUUCUUCUUAACUCUUUCUGUUGCCUUUCUUUUUACCUUCCAAAAAGGAAGGCAACAACAUACAUUUCUGUCCUUCCUUGCAUCGUUCUCUCCUAUUUCCUUGUGUCCUUCUCCUUUCCUUUAUUGUGUCCUACCCCUGUUCUUCCUUUCUCCUUUGUGUCUUUCUUCCUCCCUUUCUUCCUUCGUUUCUAAUAAUUCCUUGUGCCACCUCCUUCCCUUUGUGGCAUGCCUUGUUUCUUCUAUGUACCCUCUCCCUUUCAUGCCCUUAUAUCCUUACUUCCUUCUUUUCCUCUCCUUCCUUUAUCCCCUUAUUCCUUGUAUCCUUUUCUCCUUUCUUGCAUUCUACCCCCUUCAUUCUAUCCUACCUUUCUUCUACCUUUGUGUCUUUGUUCUUCCUCUCUUCCUUACAUUAUUUCCCACCUCCCGUCCAUUAAUGGCCCUUCUUUUCUUCCUUCCCUUGGAUACCCCUUCCUUCUUUAUACAAACAUUUACCAUGUAUUCAUAGAGAUUUUAUUAUUUUAUGGUGAAUGCAAAGGCUGUGAUUUCUGGAAAGUUGACUUGUCCCUGAGCUUAACAAAUCAUGUCUGUCCAGAUAACAGAUAAAUGUGUCUUUUGUAAAGGUGCUCCAGCAUGUUGAAUAAAUUCCCUGGAGGAUGAAAA
Non-coding RNA from Poecilia reticulata (guppy), 4032 nucleotides. The record is from RefSeq and is a predicted model, not a curated record. NCBI's taxonomy places the organism in Eukaryota, Metazoa, Chordata, Actinopteri, Cyprinodontiformes, Poeciliidae.